UUUGUUUUCCAGCCGUUUAGCUAGAGGCUACAUGUAGCACAAAACAAUAACAAUGACUAGCCUCCUGCUAAUGCCCCCCGUGGCUCGAGAGAAACGCGUUCCUAUAGCCACUCAUUCCUACAUGUUGUACGAGUGGGUGUACGAUGAUUUACAAGACAAAUAAAAAGCAGCAUCAACAUAGAAUCCAUUCGCUAGUAAGCAUUAUCUAACUUGGUUAGCUAGGUAGGUAGUAGUAAUAGAGGCAACCAAUGGAAAUAUGUUUUUUUUCAUUGAAGAGUUGAAUUCUUAAACUUCAUUUGGAGGUUAAAUGGCUAAUAUACCUAGUUAAACCUGACGUGAUUGUAGGUAGCUGACUUACCAUUGUUGCUAGCAGUAGUCAAAUCUAACAUUAGUAAGUUGACCUUGCCCCUUUUGUGAGUUUGUGCUCGCAGAAUGAACUAUUCAGUUCUGCCUUCUCACAAGGCGCUAGUGUAUGAUACAGGCCAUAGAGGGUGUUGACCUGUGGUCUUUACUACAAUUUGAGUUUAACAACUUUUCUGUUUACAGCUCUGCAUGGCUCUAUAUGCUAUUUAUCCAUAAAGUUCCUUGUCCAUAGAUUGACUGUCAUUGUUCAUUGUUAUACGUCUAUUCUGUUCUGUUCUGUUUCCUGGUCUUCGGUCUAACUGUUAUGUACCAUGUCUUUUUCCAAAACACCCCUCAAUCAGUGUCAAAACGGAUUGUGGGCAAGACAAGUCAAGAGGAAGACGUGCGGGUUGAAACCAAGCCUCAACGAGAUCGACGGAUCUACUCUUCUUAUUAGUGAACUCAAACUUCUUUCAUUUACUUUUAGUAGGCCUACCAUCUCCUGCGGAUGUGCUACCCUUCCUAAGGAUUCUGUCAUUCCACAUCUACUGAUUCCUCAAGAUGAAUUUUGGUAAGCACAGAUGCUGUACUGUCUGUUCAUGAAAUGCACAGGGGGGUAUUCUAAGUAUGUGGUUUAGUGGCAGAGUUCAUUUGAGCAGUGGUGCUUACAGCUUUACUCCCUUUGAAGGAGUGCCUGCUAUGGAGGUGUGCUUUGAUGAGGUAAACUCCACAGUUGUGGUCAUGUCUGUAUUAGAAUGUGAAACAAUAUAUGGGAGAUGUUAUUAUCAAGUAUGUAUUUGCAUUGUAUGUGUGUGUGUGCAGGCUGUGCAUGCGUAACCCUUUGUGAACACACAGUGGGACAGUGCUAGUCGGCUGCAGGAGUGGCUGCAGGGCCAGCUGAGCUCAAUGGGGUGCACCAUCGGGGAGCUGGUGGGCCUCUUGGUCCUUCGCCCGGCCCAUCAUGCCGUUCUCCCGCUUGACCCAACCUGCUACAGCUGCUCCCUGCAUCAGUUCAGCUCACAGCUCAAUCAGCAUUCCGCUGAGCUACAGGUACAUACACGCUCGUGGUCUGUCACUCCAGUGGGUCUUUAGUGCCAGAGGAGACUACAGCAGAGCUGCUAAGUCCAUCCAGAACAGCAACAUUGAUGAUGAGAGAGUGACCUGCCUCCUCAACACUCGCAUCAUGAGGGUGGAGGUCUACUUCUCGUAUCUUUGUGUCAGCAUGGAGACUUCCACACAACUGGAAAGAGGACCAGUAAAACAAACUAAUGAAAUAGGCUAAUAUGCGGAGUGUUGUGAGGACUGCUGCCCUGAGAACACCGAGUGCAUUCUGGAAUAGGGAUUUGGCAGACGCCUUUGUCCAAAGCGACACAUAAAUACAAAACAACAUAAUAUUUAAAAUUGAACAGGUUCAUUAAUCCAACAUUAAUCAUUUCAGUAACAUUAAUCCAUAAACUAAUCAUGAUUAUUGCAGCUACUUAAAAUAGUCUUGAAUUUUGCAAUUUAGCCAUGUUUACUACUGUGUUGGUGGUAAUGUGAGCAGUGUUUUGAAUGAACUGAUCAUAAUCAUUAUUUCAGUAAUUGUACAGCAAUUCAGUUUAUUGUACAGCAUGCAUCAUUUUGUGUAAUCCUAUCUUUUAUUGACAGAGCCCUCACAAAUAAACUGAUAUAAAGAAUAAACAUAGAUGGUGAUGGUGACAAGGGUGCCUUCAGAAGGUGCCAUCCAGCAGUCCCAGCCUGGAGCCAGAGGCUGCUAUUGCAAAUCAGAUGGGGUAUGAUCUAUGUUGGGCAUCAGAAAGGUGGUGUAAGCAAGAAUUGCUACAGACAAUGAUACGAUUAGGUUCGAGAGGGAUCCCGUGUGUGCAGUACUGCUCCUCUGCUUUGUGAUGGUGAGACAUGUCUAACCUACAGUAUAUUACAUCCUUAUGUGUUCUUGAGAACACCAUAAGUUAUAUGGAAAGUCCGAAAAUAAAAGAGAAGGUGUCUAUGCUAGUAAAUAAAGCUCUGACCAUUCAUUCCAAUGACCAUGACCUCCUUGCCACUGCCAGAUGUAAUAGAGGUCGGAGGGCAGCUGCACUGUUGUGGCAUGUGUACUGGUAACAGCUUAUCUACAACACAAAGUAAUCCAUGUGCAGCAUGAAUUUAUGGAAGAAAACAGUAGAAAAGACAGGUAGAAUAGUUAUAUCCUUAAGACCAUACUCAUACCUUUGUGUUUAACACACCAAGUCCCAAGCACUUCCUCAACCUCCACAUUUGGGGCCAAUGAUUGAAAGAACCACUCUAACAGGGAAUCCCUGUUAUGGAGUGUGUUGUGGUGGGAUAUGCCAUUGCAUGCUGCACACAGGAACUGAUUAUUGGCACAGUCUCUGCACCUUAUUACAGCCUGCUUGAUAUGACAGCUGCCACAGAUAUAGCUGCCUGUGUCCUCUGCUUCCACCAUAUCCUUCAAUAAGGCUGGUCGUUCUGCAGACCACCUAUUGGCACUCUGGCUCUGUCACUCUGCCCAGCUCAGAGGAGCACUCUUUUCCUGCCCUACAUGUAUUACUGGAAUGUCAUCUAACACAGUGUUUUUCAACCUGUUUUGUGCCACGGCACACUUUUGACACUUAAAAUGUCCCACGGCACACUAACAUCCUAUGUGAAGAAAAAAUAAACAUACCAUAGCCUAAAAUUUCAAAUAAUACACAGAUAUGGCCUUAUUAUGGCUUCUAUGCAAGACCUGCUCAAUAUAACAAGCACCCUCUGUUUUAUUUGUAGGUGACUAUAUAUAAUUUAAUUGUUGUUUUUAACUGGAUAUGUGAUGAUUCUGUGAAUACUGGAUACAGGAAAUUGUGGAGGUGAGAUCUAAUA
RNA transcript from Alosa alosa (allis shad), 3192 nucleotides. It is a transcript of the gene named transferrin receptor protein 2-like, with no coding region annotated. The transcript is spliced from 6 exons. The record is from RefSeq and is a predicted model, not a curated record. Lineage: Eukaryota; Metazoa; Chordata; Actinopteri; Clupeiformes; Clupeidae.